GUGCUUGCUUCGCAGCACACAUACUAAAAUUGGAACAAUACAGAGAUUAGCAUGGCCCCUGUGCAAAGAUGACACGCAAAUUCGUGAAGCAUUCCAUACGUGU
Molecule: small nuclear RNA, 103 nt
Organism: Pan paniscus (pygmy chimpanzee)
Lineage: Eukaryota; Metazoa; Chordata; Mammalia; Primates; Hominidae
Source: Ensembl